CUUACCCAUCUUUGUAAAAAAAUCAUUUCAGUUGUAGCUGGCUGAUGCACUCACAAGUGCAGGUGGUGUGCUACACAAGGGUUAAGUCUUUGGCUAACACCACAAGGGUCUCUGGCUCAGUGAGCGGAGUUUGACAGUAAUUUUUGCUACACCU
Molecule: small nucleolar RNA, 154 nt
Filed under: Neogale vison (American mink)
Lineage: Eukaryota; Metazoa; Chordata; Mammalia; Carnivora; Mustelidae
Source: RNAcentral